RNAcentral lists this ribosomal RNA (527 nucleotides) under uncultured bacterium. Its description in RNAcentral is "bacterial SSU rRNA". It matches the Rfam family "Bacterial small subunit ribosomal RNA", at positions 777 to 1304 of the family's 1533-position model. The record is from RNAcentral.
AAUAGAUACCCGGGUAGUCCUAGCCGUAAACGAUGGACACUAGGUGUUGGUGGUAUCAACCCCGCCAGUGCCGAAGCUAACGCAUUAAGUGUCCCGCCUGGGGAGUACGGCCGCAAGGCUAAAACUCAAAGGAAUUGACGGGGGCCCGCACAAGCAGCGGAGCGUGGGGUUUAAUUCGACGCAACGCGAAGAACCUUACCAGGUCUUGACAUCCCGCUGAUCCCUCUGGAGACAGAGGUUCCCUUCGGGGCAGCGGUGACAGGUGGUGCAUGGUUGUCGUCAGCUCGUGUCGUGAGAUGUUGGGUUAAGUCCCGCAACGAGCGCAACCCUUAUCUUUAGUUGCCAGCAUUCAGUUGGGCACCCUAGAGAGACUGCCGUCGACAAGACGGAGGAAGGCGGGGAUGACGUCAAAUCAUCAUGCCCCUUAUGACCUGGGCUACACACGUGCUACAAUGGCUGGUACAACGGGAUGCUAGCUCGCGAGAGUAUGCCAAUCUCUUAAAACCAGUCUCAGUUCGGAUUGCAGG